Long non-coding RNA from Theobroma umbraticum, 544 nucleotides. RefSeq lists it as uncharacterized. Lineage: Eukaryota; Viridiplantae; Streptophyta; Magnoliopsida; Malvales; Malvaceae. The record is from RefSeq and is a predicted model, not a curated record.
UUGGGUAGGCCUGUAUAUAUUUACUGCGGUACGAACAUUCCCCCUUUAUCAAGAAAAUGGCUCCUAAGAAGCUUUUAUUUCUCUUCCAGGUUCUCUUGGUUAUUUUUCUCCUACUAGCCUCAGCCAUGGCGACAAGGAACGUGGAAAGGACUGCCAAGACUUAUGAGAAAGCUGCAAGGGAGCUCAUUUAUAAACCUCAGAAUAGGGAUGAUCCUUGGGGGCAUGGUUAUAUCCCUGCAGUUGCUAAACCAGAUCGAACAUAAACUACUGCUAGCUAGUCAGCCUGCUGAUCAUACGUAUUGAUGUAUCAAAUAAUGUCAUUGCCUGGUACCGAGUGAAUAAAAUAGAAGCUACUGCUUCAGUACUUAGCUUCUUGGUCCAGUUUCGUCCUUCGGUAUAUGUAAUAUUAGUAUUUUGCUAGAUAUUGGCGCAGCAUUGAAGCUCAUCAGAAGUUUCUCUGUACUGCGUAGCCUGGACAAGGUUAAUAUGAGUUAGAUAUUGUAAACUUGUCAUUUCAUGAAUAAAGUUUGUGUUAAAUGCACAA